UAGUUAUAUUGGGAAUCAAACCCACAGUGUUCGGCUUACCAGGCAGAUGCCAUGUCCACUAGGCUACCCU
Non-coding RNA from Cordylochernes scorpioides, 70 nucleotides. NCBI's taxonomy places the organism in Eukaryota, Metazoa, Arthropoda, Arachnida, Pseudoscorpiones, Chernetidae. The record is from the annotation of a GenBank genome assembly.